RNAcentral lists this transfer RNA (73 nucleotides) under Lysinibacillus alkalisoli. Its description in RNAcentral is "tRNA-Glu". It matches the Rfam family "tRNA". From Rfam's summary of the family: Transfer RNA (tRNA) molecules are approximately 80 nucleotides in length. The record is from RNAcentral. Lineage: Bacteria; Bacillati; Bacillota; Bacilli; Caryophanales; Bacillaceae.
GGCCCCCUUGGUCAAGCGGUUAAGACACCGCCCUUUCACGGCGGUAACACGGGUUCGAAUCCCGUAGGGGUCA